AUGCUAUCCAAGGCCAGCGAGGCUGGUCAUGUUAAGGGACUCGUUCCACACCUCAUCCCGGGUGGUGUGACCCAUCUACAAUAUGCAGACGAUACUUUGCUUUUGUUUAAGACCGACGACCAUAGCAUCGCCUCCAUUAAGCUUUUGUUAUUAGCCUUUGAGAUCCUGUCUGGACUCAAAAUUAAUUUUCUUAAAAGCGAGGUCAUCACCAUGGGGAUGGACGACCAUCAAAGUCGGCGUGCCGCAAAUCUACUUAAUUGUAAGCUUGGGAGCUUUCCAAUAAAGUAUCUGGGGCUUCCUAUAUCCCAUCGUAAGCUUUCGAUUUCAGAGUGGGAGCCGUUGUAUGGGAAGGUGGCCAAUAGGGUUAGCCCGUGGCGUGGGCGGUUUUUGUCUUCUGCGGCUAGGCUCAUUUUAACUAACUCGAGCCUCUCUUCCCUGCCCCUAUUCACAAUGGGGAUGUUCUUAUUAGCUGAUGGCGUGCACGCUAAGCUAGAUACACCGCGAUCCCGGUUCUUUUGGGAAGGAACUGGUAUCAAGCGGAAAUAUCACCUGGUAAAGUGGGCGGCUGUCUGUAGGCCAAAAAAAUUCGGAGGUUUGGGGAUCCUAAACUCCAAACUUAUGAACGUAGCCCUUCUGUCCAAAUGGUGGUGGCGGCUUGCCCAAAACGAGACGAGUCUCUGGGCUCAGCUGCUAAAGGCUAAGUACUUCCCAAAUGGGAAUCCUUUCAGUGCCCCGGCCAACGGCUCCGUGUUUUGGAAAGGGAUCCAAGCGGUCCGACCAGCGUUUGCUAUCGGGGCCAAAUUCCAGAUUCAAAAUGGACAAUCCACUCGCUUUUGGCUGGAUCAUUGGCUGGGAGCCUCUCCCCUUUGGCAAAGUCACCCCAAUCUUUUUCGGAUCGCUACUGACACCAACAUCUUAGUGGGAGAGGCAGCCCGUACUGACCCUCCAGCGAUCCAUUUUAUGAGGGCCCUUACCAAUGCCGAACGGGAGGCAUGGGACGACCUAGUGCAUCAAAUUGGUGACAACCGUAUAGGGCCGGGCGAAGAUUUGGUCGAAUGGAGCUUGACAGCGUCCCGAAAAUUUUCGGUUAAAUCUUUAUACAACAAGCUUACUGAAGGGACAUCGCUAGACAUAGCUAGGGGGCUAUGGAAGGCAGGCCUGCCCUUCAAAAUUAAAAUCUUCAUGUGGCAAAUGCUCAGAAAUAGGCUGCCCACGUCGGAUAAUGUGGCAAAACGUAACGGUCCGGCUGACGGUACCUGCACUGUGUGCGGUCUAGGUGAAGAUGCUAACCACGUCUUUUUUAGAUGUCACCUAGCCAGGUUCGCGUGGAGUGCAGUUAGGGAAGCCUUCCACUCGAACUUGAACCCAGCCUCGGGGAACGACUUGAUUGCCAUCCUUAAAACCACGAGAGGGACUAGUAGUAGAAUCGCUUGGCGUUGCGUAGGGGCGCUACUGUGGGCUAUUUGGACAACGCGCAAUAAAAUUACGAUUGAGAAAAAAUUUCCUAAUCACCCUGCGGAUGUGAUCUUCAAAUGUCACCUUUUCUUACAGACUUGGACUCCGCUGGGGAAGGAGCGCGAUGCUGAGCGCAUGUCAGAGGCCAUGGCGCGAAUCAUGACUAUCCAGGUGACGGCAAGACAAGACUCGAUGAUUCGAUGA
This 1659-nucleotide ribosomal RNA is filed under the name Triticum aestivum (bread wheat). RNAcentral's name for it is "partial small subunit ribosomal RNA". The record is from RNAcentral. Lineage: Eukaryota; Viridiplantae; Streptophyta; Magnoliopsida; Poales; Poaceae.